RNAcentral lists this ribosomal RNA (276 nucleotides) under uncultured prokaryote. RNAcentral's name for it is "partial 16S ribosomal RNA". It matches the Rfam family "Bacterial small subunit ribosomal RNA", at positions 524 to 800 of the family's 1533-position model. The record is from RNAcentral.
UACGUAGGGGGCUAGCGUUAUCCGGAAUUACUGGGCGUAAAGGGUGCGUAGGUGGUUUCUUAAGUCAGAGGUGAAAGGCUACGGCUCAACCGUAGUAUGCCUUUGAAACUGGGAAACUUGAGUGCAGGAGAGGAGAGUGGAAUUCCUAGUGUAGCGGUGAAAUGCGUAGAUAUUAGGAGGAACACCAGUUGCGAAGGCGGCUCUCUGGACUGUAACUGACACUGAGGCACGAAAGCGUGGGGAGCAAACAGGAUUAGAUACCCUGGUAGUCCCUGA